Molecule: ribosomal RNA, 575 nt
Filed under: Ophiostoma ainoae
Lineage: Eukaryota; Fungi; Ascomycota; Sordariomycetes; Ophiostomatales; Ophiostomataceae
Description: eukaryotic LSU rRNA
Rfam family: 5.8S ribosomal RNA (bases 208-361)
Source: RNAcentral
UCAUUAGCGAGUUUUCAACUCCCAACCCUUGCGAACCGUACCCCGUUCUGUUCUCGUUGCCUCUGGCGGGAGGGGGAGGGGGGCCGCCCUUCGGGGCGCGCCUCUCUUCCCCCCCGGUCCCCUCGGGGCGCCCGCCAGCGGCCGCGAGCCGCCCGAACUUUUUAUAACCGUAACCGACACGUCUGAGAAACAAACAAAAACAGCCAAAACUUUCAACAACGGAUCUCUUGGCUCUGGCAUCGAUGAAGAACGCAGCGAAAUGCGAUACGUAAUGCGAAUUGCAGAAUUCAGCGAGUCAUCGAAUCUUUGAACGCACAUUGCGCCCGCCAGCAUUCUGGCGGGCAUGCCUGUCCGAGCGUCAUUUCCCCCCUCAGCGCGCCCUUCGGGAGGCGCUGGCGUUGGGGCUCCUCCGCCCUCUGCGGCGGCAGGGCCCUCAAAUCCAGUGGCGGGCCCGGCUGGUUGGCUCCGAGCGCAGUACCGAACGCAAGUUCUCUCCCUCGCUCUGCAGCCCCGGCCGGCGCCCUGCCGUCAAGCCGCGCAGGCGUCCAGCACGCCUCGCACUUUUACAAGGUUGA